GGCGGCAUAGCCAAGUGGCUAAGGCAGCGGUCUGCAAAACCGUUAUUCUCCGGUUCGAAUCCGGAUGCCGCCUCCA
RNAcentral lists this transfer RNA (76 nucleotides) under Deltaproteobacteria bacterium ADurb.BinA014. Its description in RNAcentral is "tRNA-Cys". It matches the Rfam family "tRNA". Rfam says of the family: Transfer RNA (tRNA) molecules are approximately 80 nucleotides in length. Their secondary structure includes four short double-helical elements and three loops (D, anti-codon, and T loops). Further hydrogen bonds mediate the characteristic L-shaped molecular structure. tRNAs have two regions of fundamental functional importance: the anti-codon, which is responsible for specific mRNA codon recognition, and the 3' end, to which the tRNAs corresponding amino acid is attached (by aminoacyl-tRNA synthetases). tRNAs cope with the degeneracy of the genetic code in two manners: having more than one tRNA (with a specific anti-codon) for a particular amino acid; and 'wobble' base-pairing, i.e. permitting non-standard base-pairing at the 3rd anti-codon position. RNAcentral also lists the same sequence under 7 other names. The record is from RNAcentral. Lineage: Bacteria; Deltaproteobacteria.